CUCCCCGCCGCUCCACUCACUCGGGCCGCCCAUCUCUGGCCUCUUCAGUGCCUGUUCCGGGCCCGGGGAGAGCACGUCCGGGGUGCCCGCCUCCGCGCGGGCAGUGGGACCCUGUGUGCGAGGGAGCCGCUGCUCAGGGGACUGCGGGACAGCUCCCCGGGCAAGGGCGGCGCUGCUGGCUGCCCGGCGGGCGACCACGUGAGGGAGCCUGGCCCCGCCCCCGCCCCGGCCUCGCUCGCUGCCGGAACCUUUGGCUCCAGGCCGGGUUUCCGCGGCCGCUGGGUGUCCCCGCGCCAGCCCCAGCCCCGCCAUGGCGGCGGAGGGGAAGGAUCCGCUCGGCUACUUCGCGGCCUACGGCGGCGACAGCAGCAGCUCCAGCUCGGACUCGGAGAGCGACGAGCCGCGCGCCGCCGGGGGAGAGGCGGCCGGGGCUGCUGGGGAGGCGGCCGGGGGUAGCCCGGGCCGGAAGCCGCGGCUGCCCGGGCCCGACGAGCUGUUCCGGAACGUGUCCCGGCCGCCGUCCUUUCUCUACAACCCGCUCAACAAGCAGAUCGACUGGGAGCGCCGGGUCGUGCGGGCGCCCGAGGAGGUGCACUGGGAGGAACAUGAAGGCAGAGCCCUGCAGCUGGACUGGUUAACAGUAGGAGUCAGUAUUGUGGGCCUCCUAAGGAAUUCAAAGUGUGGAAGAGUAAUGCAGUACCACCACCUGAGAUUUACAGUAUUAAGGAAAAGAAGCCACCACCUCCUGAGCUUGAUAUGGCAAUAAAAUGGUCCAACAUAUAUGAGGACAAUGGUGAUGAUGCUCCACAGCAAACAAACAAAGUUAACUUUUUACCAGAAGAGGAGCAAGAGCCUUCAGAAUCAGAUGAUGAAAAAGAUGAACCAGCUUCUGCUAAGAAACGCAAACUAGACACUGGAGAAGAGACUAAGAGGAAGAAGUAAUAAGCAGGACGAACUGCAUUUGGCCCCCUAUGGAGACCUAGUGAACUUUGAUUCCUCUGCUGAAAUGGGAAACAAAUACAUUUUCACCUAACUUAUAUCAUAUGUUGUUUAGAUAUUUUUUUAUUUCCAUAGAAUAUUUGCCACUUGGAAAGCACAAGAGUUCAUGGAUCAGUAUUGUGAUAAAACUUGUAUCCACUGAACAAAAAUUAAGUCCAUGUAAUCAAUUUAUUUAAAACACAAUCUUUUAAAGUAUUUGAUGAAUAUUUGUGCUCCUACAGGUUAUAAGGCUUUGUGGUAUUCUCUUUAUCCACAGACUUGUGAUGUGAGCUUUUCUCAGCUGACCUGCCAUCAUGCUAAAACCUUUUAUAAAGGAAGAUAUUUUUUAAAAUGUUGUUUUAAGUAAUGUACUGUGGUACAUGUUUAAUCAAUAGUUUUGAAAUGUAUGUAAAGAGUGUAAAUACGUAGGUCAUCUGAAAUUAAAACUUCAUGUGAAAAUGUAUAUAGCUUAGCUGUUUAAUAUGUAAUGUAAUGGACAAAUUCUAUACUGUGUGUGUUUUAGCAGUAUGUUAGACACACUUGAUAGAUUCUUCAAGGUUUGAUGUGUAAUAAAUUGAGAGUUACGGCUUCAUUUAGGACACUGCCCUUCAAAAAUGUACUUGAAAA
Mauremys reevesii (Reeves's turtle) is the source of this 1605-nucleotide RNA transcript. It is a transcript of the gene named chromosome 8 C1orf52 homolog, with no coding region annotated. NCBI's taxonomy places the organism in Eukaryota, Metazoa, Chordata, Testudines, Geoemydidae. The transcript has 4 exons. The record is from RefSeq and is a predicted model, not a curated record.